Molecule: ribosomal RNA, 583 nt
Filed under: Haemogregarina sp.
Lineage: Eukaryota; Apicomplexa; Haemogregarinidae
Description: SSU rRNA
Rfam family: Eukaryotic small subunit ribosomal RNA
Source: RNAcentral
GUAUGAUAUUGGCUUACCGUGGCAGUGACGGUUAACGGGGAAUUAGGGUUCGAUUCCGGAGAGGAAGCCUGAGAAACGGCUACCACAUCUAAGGAAGGCAGCAGGCGCGCAAAUUACCCAAUCCUAACAGAAAAAGGGAGGUAGUGACAAGAAAUAACAAUACAAGGCAGUAAAAUUGUUUUGUAAUUGGAAUGAUAGAAAUUUAAACACUUUCUAAAGUAUCAAUUGGAGGGCAAGUCUGGUGCCAGCAGCCGCGGUAAUUCCAGCUCCAAUAGCGUAUAUUAAAGUUGUUGCAGUUAAAAAGCUCGUAGUUGGAUUUUUGCUAAAAUUAACUGGUCUGCUUUUUGUAAAAGUAGUAUCUUGGUAUGUUUUUGGCAUUUAUGUCCUAAGGAAAUGUUUUUUGCUUGAUUGUAAUAAACAACAAUUAGGAUUUUUACUUUGAGAAAAUUAGAGUGUUUCAAGCAGGCUUACGCUUUGAAUACUGCAGCAUGGAAUAAUAAAAUAGGAUUUUGGUUCUACAUUAUUGGUUUUAAGAGCUAAAUUAAUGAUUAAUAGGGACAGUUGGGGGCAUUUGUAUUUAACU